AUUGAACGCUGGCGGCAGGCCUAACACAUGCAAGUCGAGCGGAUGAAGGGAGCUUGCUCCUGGAUUCAGCGGCGGACGGGUGAGUAAUGCCUAGGAAUCUGCCUGGUAGUGGGGGAUAACGUCCGGAAACGGGCGCUAAUACCGCAUGCGUCCUGAGGGAGAAAGUGGGGGAUCUUCGGACCUCACGCUAUCAGAUGAGCCUAGGUCGGAUUAGCUAGUUGGUGGGGUAAAGGCCUACCAAGGCGACGAUCCGUAACUGGUCUGAGAGGAUGAUCAGUCACACUGGAACUGAGACACGGUCCAGACUCCUACGGGAGGCAGCAAUGGGGAAUAUUGGACAAUGGGCGAAAGCCUGAUCCAGCCAUGCCGCGUGUGUGAAGAAGGUCUUCGGAUUGUAAAGCACUUUAAGUUGGGAGGAAGGGCAGUAAGUUAAUACCUUGCUGUUUUGACGUUACCAACAGAAUAAGCACCGGCUAACUUCGUG
RNAcentral lists this ribosomal RNA (484 nucleotides) under uncultured bacterium. RNAcentral's name for it is "partial 16S ribosomal RNA". It matches the Rfam family "Bacterial small subunit ribosomal RNA", at positions 30 to 507 of the family's 1533-position model. The record is from RNAcentral.